GACGAACGCUGGCGGCGUGCUUAACACAUGCAAGUCGAACGGUGAAGCGCCUUCUUUUUUGGUGGGUGUGGAUGAGCGGCGAACGGGUGCGUAACACGUGAGUAACCUGCCCCCUUCUUCUUGAUAACAGCAUGAAAGUGACGCCAAUCCGGGAUAUUCUGGGUCUGUCGCAUCAUGGGUCUGGGCAAGAUAUUGUUUCGGUGGGUGAUGUGCUCGCGGCCUAGCAGGUUGGUGGUGGGGUGAUGGCCUACCGAGGCGGUGAGGGGUAGCCGGCCUGGGAGGGUGAGCGACCACGCUGGGGCGGAGACGCGGCCACGACUCCGACGGGAGGCAGCGGGGAGGAAUAGUGCACAGUGGACGGAAGGAUGAUGCAGCGACGCCGCGGGGGGGAUGGAGUCCUGCGGGUUGAGAACUUCAUGCGCGAGUGAAGCAGAGCUGCUUAGUUUGUGGGUGGGUUGACGGUAGCUGGAGAAGAAGCGCCGGCUAACUACGUG
RNAcentral lists this ribosomal RNA (494 nucleotides) under uncultured bacterium. Its description in RNAcentral is "partial 16S ribosomal RNA". It matches the Rfam family "Bacterial small subunit ribosomal RNA", at positions 28 to 507 of the family's 1533-position model. The record is from RNAcentral.